CUCGGCUCAGGUUCUGUGGUACACUUGGACUCGGACUCUGGAGCAGUCAGUGCAUGACAGAACUUGGGCUUGGA
This 74-nucleotide microRNA precursor is filed under the name Pelodiscus sinensis (Chinese soft-shelled turtle). RNAcentral's name for it is "mir-148/mir-152 microRNA precursor family". It matches the Rfam family "mir-148/mir-152 microRNA precursor family". Rfam says of the family: The hairpin precursors (represented here) are predicted based on base pairing and cross-species conservation -- their extents are not known. The record is from Rfam by way of RNAcentral. Lineage: Eukaryota; Metazoa; Chordata; Testudines; Trionychidae.